Non-coding RNA from Camellia sinensis, 436 nucleotides. The record is from RefSeq and is a predicted model, not a curated record. NCBI's taxonomy places the organism in Eukaryota, Viridiplantae, Streptophyta, Magnoliopsida, Ericales, Theaceae.
AUUGUGAGUAAGAAGAAAAACAAAGGUUUUUAUCAUCCAGGGCACAACCACAACCUACUUGGCCAUGCAUGGAGACUCUAUGAAGAAGACAAGUCAUUGGAAUUGAUUGAUGAGGCUCUAUGGGACUCAUGCUACCAAAUUGAAAUGUUACGAUCAAUCCAUGUUGGUCAUUUAUGUGUGCAAGAAAGUCCAAAAGAUAGGCCAAGCAUGUCAUCUGCAGUUCUAAUGUUGGGCAGUGAAGCUGCAUUGCCUCAAGCCAAACAACCUGGCUUCUUCACUGCAAGAAACGUUCUUCAGACUGGUUCUUUGUCAAGCAAGGAAGCAACAACUACGGGCAAUGAAAUCACCAGUACUAUGUUAUGUGCUCGAUAGAAAUUAUACCAUGUACAAGGUGAAAGCUUAAUCAUUGUUUCUGGUUACAAGUUUACAUGCACAA